GCCGCCUUAGCUCAGCGGUAGAGCAACUGAUUCGUAAUCAGUAGGUCCGCGGUUCAAGUCCGCGAGGCGGCA
Molecule: transfer RNA, 72 nt
Filed under: Dongia mobilis
Lineage: Bacteria; Pseudomonadati; Pseudomonadota; Alphaproteobacteria; Rhodospirillales; Dongiaceae
Description: Rhodospirillaceae bacterium LM22 tRNA
Rfam family: tRNA
About the family: Transfer RNA (tRNA) molecules are approximately 80 nucleotides in length. Their secondary structure includes four short double-helical elements and three loops (D, anti-codon, and T loops).
Source: Rfam by way of RNAcentral